AAGUCGAGCGGCAGCACAGAGAAACUUGUUUCUCGGGUGGCGAGCGGCGGACGGGUGAGUAAUGCCUGGGAAAUUGCCCUGAUGUGGGGGAUAACCAUUGGAAACGAUGGCUAAUACCGCAUGAUGCCUACGGGCCAAAGAGGGGGACCUUCGGGCCUCUCGCGUCAGGAUAUGCCCAGGUGGGAUUAGCUAGUUGGUGAGGUAAGGGCUCACCAAGGCGACGAUCCCUAGCUGGUCUGAGAGGAUGAUCAGCCACACUGGAACUGAGACACGGUCCAGACUCCUACGGGAGGCAGCAGUGGGGAAUAUUGCACAAUGGGCGCAAGCCUGAUGCAGCCAUGCCGCGUGUGUGAAGAAGGCCUUCGGGUUGUAAAGCACUUUCAGUAGGGAGGAAGGUGGUAUUGUUAAUAGCGCUAUCAUUUGACGUUACCUACAGAAGAAGCACCGGCUAACUCCGUGCCAGCAGCCGCGGUAAUACGGAGGGUGCGAGCGUUAAUCGGAAUUACUGGGCGUAAAGCGCAUGCAGGUGGUUUGUUAAGUCAGAUGUGAA
RNAcentral lists this ribosomal RNA (550 nucleotides) under Vibrio sp. C1NR2T3. RNAcentral's name for it is "bacterial SSU rRNA". It matches the Rfam family "Bacterial small subunit ribosomal RNA", at positions 59 to 598 of the family's 1533-position model. Lineage: Bacteria; Pseudomonadati; Pseudomonadota; Gammaproteobacteria; Vibrionales; Vibrionaceae. The record is from RNAcentral.